GGUUCUCCUCUCUCCUGCAGGAUGAUUGCCGCCGUGGACACAGACUCCCCCCGAGAGGUCUUUUUCCGAGUGGCAGCUGACAUGUUUUCUGACGGCAACUUCAACUGGGGCCGGGUUGUCGCCCUUUUCUACUUUGCCAGCAAACUGGUGCUCAAGCCCUGUGCACCAAGGUGCCGGAACUGAUCAGAACCAUCAUGGGCUGGACAUUGGACUUCCUCCGGGAGCGGCUGUUGGGCUGGAUCCAAGACCAGGGUGGUUGGGUGAGACUCCUCAAGCCUCCUCACCCCCACCACCGCGCCCUCACCACCGCCCCUGCCCCACCGUCCCUGCCCCCCGCCACUCCUCUGGGACCCUGGG
Molecule: long non-coding RNA, 357 nt
Filed under: Homo sapiens (human)
Lineage: Eukaryota; Metazoa; Chordata; Mammalia; Primates; Hominidae
Description: long non-coding RNA NONHSAT067131.2
Source: RNAcentral